CAACCUGCCUAUAACUAGGGAAUAACCUUGCGAAAGUAAGACUAAUGCCCUAUGAUUUCCUUUGAUGACAUCAAAUUAGGAAUAAAGAUUUAUCGGUUAUAGAUGGGGAUGCGUCUGAUUAGCUUGUUGGCGGGGUAACGGCCCACCAAGGCAACGAUCAGUAGGGGUUCUGAGAGGAAGGUCCCCCACAUUGGAACUGAGACACGGUCCAAACUCCUACGGGAGGCAGCAGUGAGGAAUAUUGGUCAAUGGGCGGAAGCCUGAACCAGCCAAGUAGCGUGCAGGAUGACGGCCCUAUGGGUUGUAAACUGCUUUUAUACAGGGAUAAAGUUAGCCACGUGUGGUUAUUUGCAGGUACUGUAUGAAUAAGGACCGGCUAAUUCCGUGCCAGCAGCCGCGGUAAUACGGAAGGUCCAGGCGUUAUCCGGAUUUAUUGGGUUUAAAGGGAGCGUAGGCCGUCUGUUAAGCGUGUUGUGAAAUGUAGAUGCUCAACAUCUGAAUUGCAGCGCGAACUGGCAGACUUGAGUGUGCGCAACGUAGGCGGAAUUCGUGGUGUAGCGGUGAAAUGCUUAGAUAUCACGAAGAACUCCGAUUG
This 595-nucleotide ribosomal RNA is filed under the name uncultured Bacteroidota bacterium. RNAcentral describes it as "bacterial SSU rRNA". It matches the Rfam family "Bacterial small subunit ribosomal RNA", at positions 122 to 715 of the family's 1533-position model. Lineage: Bacteria; Pseudomonadati; Bacteroidota. The record is from RNAcentral.